AUGAAAAUUGCUCUUGGCAUUGCCCGUGGUUUGGAAUACCUUCAUGAUAACUGCAACCCCUCGAUUAUCCAUGGUGAUAUUAAGGCUACCAAUGUCCUACUUGAUGGAAAUUUUGAAGUUGUGUUUGGAGACUUUGGACUGCCAAAGUUAAUGGACCAAGGGAAGGAAAUAAUGAUGAUAGAGAUCCCGGGAACAUUGGGCUACAUGGCUCUAGAGUACAGGAAAGACAUCAACAAAAAUCGACAUAUAUGGAUAUGGUGUCUUGAUAUUAGAGAUUGUGACGGGAAAGGGUUCAGACUUCCAUGUUAA
This 309-nucleotide ribosomal RNA is filed under the name Triticum aestivum (bread wheat). RNAcentral describes it as "partial small subunit ribosomal RNA". Lineage: Eukaryota; Viridiplantae; Streptophyta; Magnoliopsida; Poales; Poaceae. The record is from RNAcentral.